GAUGAAGAACGAAGCGAAAUGCGAUAAGUAAUGUGAAUUGCAGAAUUCAGUGAAUCAUCGAAUCUUUGAACGCACAUUGCGCCCCCUGGUAUUCCGGGGGGCAUGCCUGUCCGAGCGUCAUUACAACCCUCAAGCUCAGCUUGGUGUUGGGCCCCGCCGCCCCGGCGGGCCCUAAAGUCAGUGGCGGUGCCGUCCGGCUCCGAGCGUAGUAAUUCUUCUCGCUCUGGAGGUCCGGUCGUGUGCUCGCCAGCAACCCCCAAUUUUUUUCAGGUUGACCUCGGAUCAGGCAGGGAUACCCGCUGAACUUAAGCAUAUCAAUAAGCGGAGGA
Molecule: unclassified non-coding RNA, 329 nt
Filed under: soil metagenome
Description: partial contains 5.8S ribosomal RNA, internal transcribed spacer 2, and large subunit ribosomal RNA
Rfam family: 5.8S ribosomal RNA (bases 1-120)
Source: RNAcentral